CCUACGGGAGGCAGCAGUCGAGAAUCAUUCACAAUGGGGGAAACCCUGAUGGUGCGACGCCGCGUGGGGGAAUGAAGGUCUUCGGAUUGUAAACCUCUUUUGCCGGGGAGCAACGGGGUCCUUGCGAGGGCCCGAUGAGAGUACCCGGAGAAAAAGCAUCGGCUAACUCCGUGCCAGCAGCCGCGGUAAUACGGAGGAUGCGAGCGUUAUCCGGAUUUAUUGGGUUUAAAGGGUGCGUAGGCGGGCUGUUAAGUCAGCGGUCAAAUGUCGGGGCUCAACCCCGGCCUGCCGUUGAAACUGGCGGCCUCGAGUGGGCGAGAAGUAUGCGGAAUGCGUGGUGUAGCGGUGAAAUGCAUAGAUAUCACGCAGAACUCCGAUUGCGAAGGCAGCAUACCGGCGCCCGACUGACGCUGAGGCACGAAAGCGUGGGUAUCGAACAGGAUUAGAUACCCCUGUAGUC
Molecule: ribosomal RNA, 460 nt
Filed under: uncultured bacterium
Lineage: Bacteria
Description: partial 16S ribosomal RNA
Rfam family: Bacterial small subunit ribosomal RNA
Source: RNAcentral